GUGAAUCAUCGAAUCUUUGAACGCAAAUUGCACUCUCCUCGGAGAGUAUGCCUGUUUGAGGGUCAGCCUAUAAAAAAUCGACAUCGUUGCUGUUUCACGGUGACGUUCGUCGGAAAUUGGGUCAUCUUAAAUCUUUUGGGUUUAAGCGACUUAAAAUUUUCUUUUUGGUUCCAUGAACGUUUCUAGAUUUUAUUUUUUUCCACUUUUAGGGUUCGGAUUUUUUUAAACGUUAACC
This 235-nucleotide unclassified non-coding RNA is filed under the name Glomus sp. Its description in RNAcentral is "partial contains 5.8S ribosomal RNA and internal transcribed spacer 2". The stretch from base 1 to 65 matches the Rfam family "5.8S ribosomal RNA", at positions 84 to 154 of the family's 154-position model. The record is from RNAcentral. Lineage: Eukaryota; Fungi; Glomeromycota; Glomeromycetes; Glomerales; Glomeraceae.